This 429-nucleotide ribosomal RNA is filed under the name Pseudomonadota bacterium. Its description in RNAcentral is "Proteobacteria bacterium partial 16S ribosomal RNA". It matches the Rfam family "Bacterial small subunit ribosomal RNA", at positions 355 to 776 of the family's 1533-position model. The record is from RNAcentral. Lineage: Bacteria; Pseudomonadati; Pseudomonadota.
UGGGGAAUAUUGGACAAUGGGCGAAAGCCUGAUCCAGCCAUGCCGCGUGUGUGAAGAAGGUCUUCGGAUUGUAAAGCACUUUAAGUUGGGAGGAAGGGCAGUAAGCGAAUACCUUGCUGUUUUGACGUUACCGACAGAAUAAGCACCGGCUAACUCUGUGCCAGCAGCCGCGGUAAUACAGAGGGUGCAAGCGUUAAUCGGAAUUACUGGGCGUAAAGCGCGCGUAGGUGGUUCGUUAAGUUGAAUGUGAAAGCCCCGGGCUCAACCUGGGAACUGCAUCCAAAACUGGCGAGCUAGAGUAGGGCAGAGGGUGGUGGAAUUUCCGGUGUAUCGGUGAAAUGCGUAGAUAUAGGAAGGAACACCAGUGGCGAAGGCGACCCCCUGGGCUCAUACUGACACUGAGGUGCGAAAGCGUGGGGAGCAAACAGG